UGGGGUAUCUUCCACAAUGGACGAAAGUCUGAUGGAGCAACGCCGCGUGAGUGAAGAAGGGUUUCGGCUCGUAAAACUCUGUUGUUAAAGAAGAACAUAUCUGAGAGUAACUGUUCAGGUAUUGACGGUAUUUAACCAGAAAGCCACGGCUAACUACGUGCCA
This 163-nucleotide ribosomal RNA is filed under the name uncultured bacterium. RNAcentral's name for it is "partial 16S ribosomal RNA". It matches the Rfam family "Bacterial small subunit ribosomal RNA", at positions 355 to 510 of the family's 1533-position model. The record is from RNAcentral.